GCGAACGCUGGCGGCAGGCCUAAUACAUGCAAGUCGAGCGCACCUUCGGGUGAGCGGCGGACGGGUGAGUAACGCGUGGGAACGUGCCCUUUGGUACGGGAUAACUGAGGGAAACUUCAGCUAAUACCGUAUGUGCCCUACGGGGGAAAGAUUUAUCGCCAUUGGAGCGGCCCGCGUUGGAUUAGGUAGUUGGUGGGGUAAAGGCCCACCAAGCCGACGAUCCAUAGCUGGUCUGAGAGGAUGAUCAGCCACACUGGGACUGAGACACGGCCCAGACUCCUACGGGAGGCAGCAGUAGGGAAUCUUGCGCAAUGGGCGAAAGCCUGACGCAGCCAUGCCGCGUGAAUGAUGAAGGUCUUAGGAUUGUAAAAUUCUUUCACCGGGGAAGAUAAUGACGGUACCCGGAGAAGAAGCCCCGGCUAACUUCGUGCCAGCAGCCGCGGUAAUACGAAGGGGGCUAGCGUUGCUCGGAAUUACUGGGCGUAAAGGGCGCGUAGGCGGAUGUUUAAGUCGGGGGUGAAAGCCCGGGGCUCAACCUCGGAAUUGCCUUCGAUACUGGACAUCUUGAGUACGGGAGAGGUGAGUGGAACUCCGAGUGUAGAGGUGAAAUUCGUAGAUAUUCGGAAGAACACCAGUGGCGAAGGCGACUCACUGGCCCGUUACUGACGCUGAGGCGCGAAAG
RNAcentral lists this ribosomal RNA (682 nucleotides) under uncultured Alphaproteobacteria bacterium. RNAcentral's name for it is "bacterial SSU rRNA". It matches the Rfam family "Bacterial small subunit ribosomal RNA", at positions 29 to 759 of the family's 1533-position model. Lineage: Bacteria; Pseudomonadati; Pseudomonadota; Alphaproteobacteria. The record is from RNAcentral.